AGUGAACGCUGGCGGUAGGCCUAACACAUGCAAGUCGAACGGCAGCACAGUAAGAGCUUGCUCUUACGGGUGGCGAGUGGCGGACGGGUGAGGAAUACAUCGGAAUCUACUUUUUCGUGGGGGAUAACGUAGGGAAACUUACGCUAAUACCGCAUACGACCUACGGGUGAAAGCAGGGGAUCUUCGGACCUUGCGCGAUUGAAUGAGCCGACGUCGGAUUAGCUAGUUGGCGGGGUAAAGGCCCACCAAGGCGACGAUCCGUAGCUGGUCUGAGAGGAUGAUCAGCCACACUGGAACUGAGAAACGGUCCAGACUCCUACGGGAGGCAGCAGUGGGGAAUAUUGGACAAUGGGGGCAAGCCUGAUCCAGCCAUACCGCGUGGGUGAAGAAGGCCUUCGGGUUGUAAAGCCCUUUUGUUGGGAAAGAAAAGCAGCAGGUUAAUACCCCGCUGUUCUGACGGUACCCAAAGAAUAAGCACCGGCUAACUUCGUG
This 492-nucleotide ribosomal RNA is filed under the name uncultured bacterium. RNAcentral's name for it is "partial 16S ribosomal RNA". It matches the Rfam family "Bacterial small subunit ribosomal RNA", at positions 29 to 507 of the family's 1533-position model. The record is from RNAcentral.